UAGAGCAUGCUUGUACAAAGGA
Molecule: microRNA, 22 nt
Filed under: Monodelphis domestica (gray short-tailed opossum)
Lineage: Eukaryota; Metazoa; Chordata; Mammalia; Didelphimorphia; Didelphidae
Description: mdo-miR-7371g-3p
Source: miRBase by way of RNAcentral